Molecule: ribosomal RNA, 503 nt
Filed under: uncultured bacterium
Lineage: Bacteria
Description: partial 16S ribosomal RNA
Rfam family: Bacterial small subunit ribosomal RNA
Source: RNAcentral
AUUGAACGCUGGCGGCAGGCUUAACACAUGCAAGUCGAGCGGGGUGAUGGUGCUUGCACUAUCACUUAGCGGCGGACGGGUGAGUAAUGCUUAGGAAUCUGCCUAUUAGUGGGGGACAACAUCUCGAAAGGGAUGCUAAUACCGCAUGCGUCCUACGGGAGAAAGCAGGGGAUCACUUGUGAUCUUGCGCUAAUAGAUGAGCCUAAGUCGGAUUAGCUAGUUGGUGGGGUAAAGGCCUACCAAGGCGACGAUCUGUAGCGGGUCUGAGAGGAUGAUCCGCCACACUGGGACUGAGACACGGCCCAGACUCCUACGGGAGGCAGCAGUGGGGAAUAUUGGACAAUGGGGGGAACCCUGAUCCAGCCAUGCCGCGUGUGUGAAGAAGGCCUUAUGGUUGUAAAGCACUUUAAGCGAGGAGGAGGCUUACCUAGUUAAUACCUGGGAUAAGUGGACGUUACUCGCAGAAUAAGCACCGGCUAACUCUGUGCCAGCCGCCGCCGUAA